Long non-coding RNA from Heterocephalus glaber (naked mole-rat), 581 nucleotides. RefSeq lists it as uncharacterized. The record is from RefSeq and is a predicted model, not a curated record. Lineage: Eukaryota; Metazoa; Chordata; Mammalia; Rodentia; Bathyergidae.
CAGAGGUUCAUGUGUGGUCUCAGGCCUCCCUCAACAAGCAGCUACUGAGUAUUGGAGACAUCCAUGUCAAAAAUACUGUAAAAUGGCAUUAGGAGAGCUCCACAAGGAAUCUGUAAGUAGUUCAUGUGGGAACUCAGCUGAAAAUCGUAACUAGGAGGUCAAAGUGAUAAUAAUCACUGAAAACAUGGGGCCAGGUAAACACCAACCAAAAAAGAGCGUAAAAGAUCAAAGAGCAGCCUCCAUCAGGUGGUCAGGUCUGAGUCCCAAAGAUUCACCUCUCAUCCCAGAUUUGGUCAUCUGGAUUCUCUAGAUGGUAUCAGCUUCUCAGGUGAGAAUAAAGCAAAAAGAAUCCUGAAUUUCAAGUUUUUAGAUGAGAGAACUGGAGCACAGAGAGGUCUGAUAUCUUGUUUCCAAUCACAAAGCUGAGAUCGAAACCAGGAAAUCUGGCUCCAGAGUUCAUGCUUUUAACUAGGACACUGAGACAACGAAUCAUCACCAGCUCCCUCCUCCUCCUCUUCUGCCUCCUCUUGCUCCUCCUCCUCCUCUUCUUCUGGAAAUAAAGUCCUAAAUGCAAACUUUCA